Molecule: unclassified non-coding RNA, 206 nt
Filed under: Hevea brasiliensis (rubber tree)
Lineage: Eukaryota; Viridiplantae; Streptophyta; Magnoliopsida; Malpighiales; Euphorbiaceae
Source: RNAcentral
UAUAAUGCUUUGCUAAAUGCUUGUGAAAGGUAGAUGCUGCUGGCUCCAGAGUUAGUUGCAUUUCCCUUGAGGAUCGUCUGGGGAAGUUGGAACUGAUUGGAUCAAGGGCAUCUGAGCUUCUUCAAAAGCUUUUACAUCCUGCAACCUGUUCUUCAGUAAAUUCUUCCCUGGUGAAGUAUGCAUCCUUCAUUGAGAAUGACGACCAA